Molecule: ribosomal RNA, 468 nt
Filed under: uncultured bacterium
Lineage: Bacteria
Description: partial 16S ribosomal RNA
Rfam family: Bacterial small subunit ribosomal RNA
Source: RNAcentral
GACGAACGCUGGCGGCGUGCUUAACACAUGCAAGUCGAACGGAAAGGCCCUGCUUUUGUGGGGUGCUCGAGUGGCGAACGGGUGAGUAACACGUGAGUAACCUGCCCUUGACUUUGGGAUAACUUCAGGAAACUGGGGCUAAUACCGGAUAGGAGCUCCUGCUGCAUGGUGGGGGUUGGAAAGUUUCGGCGGUUGGGGAUGGACUGGCGGCUUAUCAGCUUGUUGGUGGGGUAGUUGCUUACCAAGGCUUUGACGGGUAGCCGGCCUGAGAGGGUGACCGGGCACAUUGGGACUGAGAUACGGCCCAGACUCCUACGGGAGGCAGCAGUGGGGAGUAUGGCACAAUGGGCGGAAGCCUGAUGCAGCAACGCCGCGUGCGGGAUGACGGCCUUCGGGUUGUAAACCGCUUUCGCCUGUGACGAAGCGUGAGUGACGGUAAUGGGUAAAGAAGCACCGGCUAACUACGUG